ACUUAAAUUGAAGAGUUUGAUCAUGGCUCAGAUUGAACGCUGGCGGCAGGCCUAACACAUGCAAGUCGAGCGGUAGCACAGAGAGCUUGCUCUCGGGUGACGAGCGGCGGACGGGUGAGUAAUGUCUGGGAAACUGCCUGAUGGAGGGGGAUAACUACUGGAAACGGUAGCUAAUACCGCAUAAUGUCGCAAGACCAAAGUGGGGGACCUUCGGGCCUCAUGCCAUCAGAUGUGCCCAGAUGGGAUUAGCUUGUAGGUGGGGUAACGGCUCACCUAGGCGACGAUCCCUAGCUGGUCUGAGAGGAUGACCAGCCACACUGGAACUGAGACACGGUCCAGACUCCUACGGGAGGCAGCAGUGGGGAAUAUUGCACAAUGGGCGCAAGCCUGAUGCAGCCAUGCCGCGUGUGUGAAGAAGGCCUUCGGGUUGUAAAGCACUUUCAGCGGGGAGGAAGGCGGUGAGGUUAAUAACCUCAUCGAUUGACG
Molecule: ribosomal RNA, 486 nt
Filed under: Klebsiella pneumoniae
Lineage: Bacteria; Pseudomonadati; Pseudomonadota; Gammaproteobacteria; Enterobacterales; Enterobacteriaceae
Description: bacterial SSU rRNA
Rfam family: Bacterial small subunit ribosomal RNA
Source: RNAcentral